Molecule: transfer RNA, 87 nt
Filed under: Candidatus Roizmanbacteria bacterium RIFCSPHIGHO2_02_FULL_40_53
Lineage: Bacteria; Candidatus Roizmaniibacteriota
Also listed under: 5 other names
Description: tRNA-Ser
Rfam family: tRNA
About the family: Transfer RNA (tRNA) molecules are approximately 80 nucleotides in length. Their secondary structure includes four short double-helical elements and three loops (D, anti-codon, and T loops).
Source: RNAcentral
GGAGAGGUCGCAUAGCGGACUAGUGCGGCAGUCUUGAAAACUGCUAAGGGCGCAAGCUCUUCGUGGGUUCGAAUCCCACCCUCUCCG